RNAcentral lists this long non-coding RNA (3049 nucleotides) under Sparus aurata (gilthead seabream). Its description in RNAcentral is "lncRNA (ENSSAUG00010008657.1)". Lineage: Eukaryota; Metazoa; Chordata; Actinopteri; Spariformes; Sparidae. The record is from RNAcentral.
AUGUAUGAUUUUGUUCCCUAUUUAGUGAAUAGGGGAGGCCUUCUGUUCCAUUUUGUUACUCUAUAUAGAUCAGGGUUCUCCCCAGAAAUUUUUAGUGUAGCGGCGCACCGUCUGUCGUGUGGGGGGGGGGAGACACGGACGGACAGACAGACGGUCAUCAACUCCGUCAGCCGGGGGACGGACGAACGGACGCUCCACCGUCUGGGGAGAACCCUGUAGAUUAUACAGUGUUAGCUAGGGGCUAAAAUACAAACAAAUUUCCACAUUUAAUUCAUAAAAUGUCUAAAAAAAUCUUCGUAGGUGUGAUGAGAGCAGACAAAAAACACUUUUGAGGGACGGCACGAUAAGUGUAAACGAGCGGCAGAAAAAGACAGUGAUGCUGGAAUUGUCCUUCAGUGGCAAGAUGCAGUAUGUGUUCAUUAAAGAAAUACUAUGUAGAGACGUAGCAGAGAGUGUCAAAAGUACAAACGUUGAGUGUGGGACUAGUGUUUCAUAUGAAUGUCAGUUAACUUUGAUUUCUGUCUGCCUAAUCUUCAGUGCAGUUCAUUGUUGGUCCGCUCACACCCGCUAAUCACAGCACACUUACUAAAUGUGAAAACUUCACUGAAUUAGUCAGUGGGUUGACUUUAUUUUGUUUCACCUUCAGGUGCUACAACUCCAGAAAAUGUCUCGGUGGUUAGAGGUUUGAUCCCAUCCACUGUCCCAUCCACUCUGAUUAUUUUGAGACAUUAUGAGACUCCUAAUAUAACUUUUAUGGUUAGUAACUUGACCUCUGACCUCCGUUGUUCCCCCUCUCCUGUUUUUUUGUCCCGUUACGCCAUGAGAAUGUGCCUUUUACACUGGCUAACUAGAAGUACUGGACUUGUCAAUUUAAUGUGUGUGUAACCAAAAUGCUAGCAGGAAAAAUCCUCCCUGAAAUCUGAAUUUCCAUGUGCCUGCUGUGAUCUGGGCCGUCAACAGCUCUCUCCGUCGUAGAAAUCCAGAAAGUCGAAACACUUCCUAAAUGACCUCAAGUUUUCGAGUUUGGCCAAUGGUCUAAUCCUCUACCACUGAGCUAACUAGAUAUUGGAUGAGGUAGCGAGCUACAGUAUCAAUUACUUUUAAGCCGCCCAGGGUGCUAGCUUUUUUUAUUUAAAAAAUAGUAAUAUCAGUAACAUCAGGAGAUUUUCCCUGAUCCUCCAUUUCUGCUGCCGUGGUGCACUGUUCGCUUGCUUGCUAAUUAGGUCUACUUGCUUAUGCAUUGUCCUCACUCACUAACUAGUUAGUUCACUACUCCACUAACUGCAGACAUUCUAAAGACGCCGUCAGUAAAAGAUGGCCGCUGACUUUCCAGUCAUCUGAGCUUGAUUCAAAACUAGAAAAAAGCAGAUCGUUAGACCGGGAAUGUCUUAUAUUCCCCAAUUUGCGGUCAGUGGAGUUGCUCUGAGACAUUUGAGGUGUUUCAUUCUGGAUAGGUGCUUACACUAACUCAGACCAGCCUCUUUCGAGUCACCACAGACAGUCUACACAGUAUCUACAGCUGGAAAUUGCUUAUGGAUGUGGUUGCCUGAUUACCAAACAAUAAUUCACCAUGUUCUAUGAGAUUUAAGUCUUUUUUUUCUCUUCACGUGUAGCUUUAUUACCCCUCCUUCCUGCCAGCAUUUAUAUUUUACUCUUUGAACAUGGUGAUAUGUUGUAAUCACUGGCAACCAUCACCAGAGCACUCGUGAAUUGUACAGUUGUCUGCUUCCGCUGUGCGAGGCCUCAUUCAGACCCGACCAGGCGUUGCGAUGAAAACACCAUUUACACUAAAUUUAUAAAAUCAUGGAUUUUCACAGACCGAACAAUGACGCUCUCCCAUUGGGUCCAACCGCAACGCCCACACAACCCUUUGCUAAAAAACACCGCAAUGCCUGAUGUGGUCUGAAACAAGCCUGAUGCAUGCAGCAAUGCACCUUACCGCACGUUCUCAUUUAAUACAACAGCGUUACUUCUUUUUGUACCUCCAGCGCUCUUCCAGACUUGUGAGAAGGAUGGUUUUGUUUUUUUGAGGAAUUUACUUGACUGAUUCUGUGUCUCUGCAUGCACGACUGCACAUUAUUUUAAGUGACGGUAUUAGCAGAGCUUAGCUCAAUUACUUCAUGUCAGUGGGUCCAAGUAGCAGCUCAGCUUGUGUAGUGUAAAGGAUUAUUUCCGUAGUUCUGUACAGCCACUAAGUCGACCCCAAAGACAUUUAGCAUUUGAGCUAAGCUGAGCUAAUUACGCUGUUUGACUUCAAGAUGCAUAGUAAGGUAAAGUCCUCUAAAAACCAAAUUAUCUUGUGAACACAACUUUCCCUGGGGAAAAAGUCCAGUUUGAGCAGAAAUGGCUAAAUGUUUACGUCACAGCAGGGAGACAUGCUAAUGUCUGUGAUGGGCGGGUUUUUCCUCCACCAACAUGUUUUCUGAUUUAUUUUUAUUUAUCAUCUGUGAGACCGUUUUGGCAACUCUGUGUAUGUGCGGAGUUUUCUGCGUGAUGUGUGUGUGUGUGUGUGUGUGCGCGCGCACAGAGUUUGUGCUGUAUAUAUGAAAAAGAUGCUACAGCUUUGUUGCAGCUCCGGCAUACUUUCUCUGUUGUUUUGAUUUAUUUAUUUUAGUUUUUUUCCCCAUGUGUAUAAGAUAACGCAGACCACCUGUCUCAACUGUUUGAAUCAUUUUCUAAAAAAUAUUUGGGAGACAUGGUUAGCAGUGCGAUUACACACAACGAUGAGUCUUCCUUCAAAAUAAAAUACAAUAAAAAAAAACAGCGACUGGUGUAAGAUGAAGUGUCCGUGUGGUUUCUUCAUACAAGGCAUCUAUACACUUAGCAAUUUUGAUGAUAGUAAGGGAAAUGUGGUGAAAUCUCUGGACUUAAAUCUACGGGUGGGAGAUGCAUCCAACAACCACUGAGCCAGAGAUGACACAGAAUAAACACGUAAACCGUAGUGUUGUCAUUCACAAACAUCAUAUGCAAAAGACAACAUGUUUUUGAGUCGGCAACCUGAGCAAAAGCUCUCAUGUAUGGUAGUAAACAAUGUGUGGAUAAAAACAUG